This 36-nucleotide non-coding RNA is filed under the name unclassified sequences. RNAcentral describes it as "DUF805b RNA". It matches the Rfam family "DUF805b RNA". From Rfam's summary of the family: Bacteroidetes, Chlorobi (1 example), Proteobacteria. The record is from RNAcentral.
AAGGCGAAACCCGAAAAGCCUAUAAUAGAGUAGAGA